Molecule: ribosomal RNA, 400 nt
Filed under: uncultured bacterium
Lineage: Bacteria
Description: bacterial SSU rRNA
Rfam family: Bacterial small subunit ribosomal RNA
Source: RNAcentral
UAGGGAAUCUUCCACAAUGGACGAAAGUCUGAUGGAGCAACGCCGCGUGAAUGAAGAAGGCCUUCGGGUCGUAAAAUUCUGUUGUCAGAGAAGAACGUGCGUGAGAGUAACUGUUCACGUAUUGACGGUAUCUGACCAGAAAGCCACGGCUAACUACGUGCCAGCAGCCGCGGUAAUACGUAGGUGGCGAGCGUUGUCCGGAUUUAUUGGGCGUAAAGGGAACGCAGGCGGUCUUUUAAGUCUGAUGUGAAAGCCUUCGGCUUAACCGAAGUAGUGCAUUGGAAACUGGAAGACUUGAGUGCAGAAGAGGAGAGUGGAACUCCAUGUGUAGCGGUGAAAUGCGUAGAUAUAUGGAAGAACACCAGUGGCGAAAGCGGCUCUCUGGUCUGUAACUGACGCU